Molecule: non-coding RNA, 1672 nt
Organism: Sturnus vulgaris (Common starling)
Lineage: Eukaryota; Metazoa; Chordata; Aves; Passeriformes; Sturnidae
Source: RefSeq, a predicted model, not a curated record
GCCUUGAAUGUUUCCAGGGAUGGGGCAUCUCCCAGCCCCUGGGCAACGUGUUCCAGUGUCACCACGUUCAUCAUAAAAGAUGUUUUCUUUAUGUCUAGUCUAAGUUUACUCUCUUUUGAUUUAAAACUGUUAUUCCUUGUCCUGUUCAACAGGCGUUGCUAAAAAUUCAGUUCUGAUUUUUCUCAUAAGUCCUUCUUAAGUACUGAAGAGUUGCAAUAAGGUCUUCUCAAAGCCCUUUCUUUUCUUGAAAGCUGAAUAACUCUCACAGCUCUUCCUGGAAGAGGUGCUUCUCCCAUUUGAUAAUUUCUGUGGACCACCUCUGGACCAGCUCCAACAGGGGUAUAUAUUUCCUGUGCUGAGGAUACCAGAGCUGGAAGCAGCACUCCAGGCAGCUGAAAGUCAAGAGACCAGCAGGCAUAAUUUAGAGCUGCAUGUGCUGUGGCAUUUACAAGGACUGGAGAUAAAUGGGGAUCAUCAUAACGCACUGUGAAUUGCAAUACAACUUUCUUGUUCCCAGUGGCCACAGCAGUGGUCCCUGAUUGAUUGAUUCUGCAAGAAGGCUGAAAGGCUAUUUUUUGAGUUUUCAGAACUGAGAGGAAAAUGUGAAAAUAAAAAUAAACUAUUUAGAAAUUGUGUAGCCAAAUAAACAUACUGUUUGACUAUCUCAAAAAUACAGUUUACGAUCUUUUUAGAAUAUAUACUCCUGGAUUCCAUAUUCAAGCAAUUGUUUAAGGCUUCCAGCUGUGCUCUUUCCAGAUAUAAUGCAGGUGGAAAGAUGAGUUAAUGAUUUAAACAAUUAGAGAUUUGAUGCAGUCUUCCAUCUGUCAAAGCCCACUGAAAUGAAAGUUCACAGUUUUAAUUUGUGCCUCCAGCAUCUAACUCAGUCUGAAAUGGUGUCAACGAUUUGCCCUGCCCACAGUAGUGCUAUUCUUAUGUUAAGCAUUCUGUGCACACAUGCUGAGAGACUUCUAUCAAACAUAUUAGUGUGCAUUUGAGAGAUCAUUAGCCUGAAGUAGCUGAAACAUUCCAGGUUUCUUAGCCAGGAAUCUCACAUCUCUGCUGGAAAGUAUGUUGAGCCAUUGUUAUUUACACAAUAAAGCUAGAGCAGGAUAGGGAUAGCUUUAUAAAGUUUAGCUGGAAUAGUGGUGCUGUGAUUUAAGUGGCACCCAUAAAAGGGUGAGAUGAUGAAUGUUUUGGUUUUUUGUCUAAAAAGAUAGAAUGAAUAAAAAUUUUUCUUGAUCUGCUAGACAGAUUGGUUUUCUUUCAUUUAGUAAAAGCUGAGGUGAAACAAUUUAAUACGGAGUUCAUAAGACUUGAUCAGAUUAUUGUUCUCCUAAAUUGAUAAAAAGUCAUGAGCAUAUAAGAAAUAAGACAGAUGUGAUACUUAUUGUUUGCAUUCUUAUGGAUUAUUUGAUUUUUUUAUAUUCAUCCAGAAAAAGGUAGAGAGGACUGAGAGAACCAUAGUGGUUGGAUGAUUAAAGCUGUACUAGCUAAUAAAUAGGAUGACUGAAGUUUCUGGAUAUUUCUGUUCGGGGAAAUAGAAGAAAGAGCUUUGUGAUUCAGUGUUUAUGUUUAUACAAAAGCAUUAGUGUAUAAGUGUGUUGUGAUUACAAGAAUCCCUUUGUUCCUAAGGGCCUUGAGAAAUCACAAAUAAACAGAACUGAAAUCCAAA